Molecule: long non-coding RNA, 414 nt
Filed under: Phoenix dactylifera (date palm)
Lineage: Eukaryota; Viridiplantae; Streptophyta; Magnoliopsida; Arecales; Arecaceae
Description: long non-coding RNA (PDAC_LNC020055)
Source: RNAcentral
UAAGAUUAAGAGAAAGCAUAACUUGUUCUUGAAGGAUUAGAAAGAGUAAUUGCUACAAAUUUUGAAUAAUGAUAGAUUACUCUACAUUCUCGAUAUCAUAGAAUUUCAGUUUUAUUCACGUUUAUCAUUAAAAUCUGAAAUUCAACAAUAGAAAAGAAUGAUUAAAGAAGAAUGUAUCUUUUGAGGGGAAUCUUUAGAUAUUCAGUAUCUUUUUAUGGAUUGAUUUUAAUGAACCUCAUUAUAUUGCAAGACUUGCUUUAAUUAUAUAAUGAGUUUAUACCUUGAGAUGAGUUCUAUAAAGGUUGUCUUAUCUCAAACAUUGAGUCUUAUGAAAAUAAGCUGAAACUUAUAGAAAUUUUUUUUUGAGAUUGACAAUUUUACUGAACAUUAUCUUCAAAUUCUAAACUCUUAAAU